UUCGGGCCACACGACUGGCGCGGGUGGACUGACCACCGGGGAGUGCAGCCGGAGCAUCGACCGCCUGGGUGCUCCUC
Molecule: non-coding RNA, 77 nt
Filed under: Actinoplanes derwentensis
Lineage: Bacteria; Bacillati; Actinomycetota; Actinomycetes; Micromonosporales; Micromonosporaceae
Description: ZTP sequence
Rfam family: ZMP/ZTP riboswitch aptamer (pfl RNA motif)
About the family: Previously known as pfl RNA. ZMP is also known as AICAR.
Source: Rfam by way of RNAcentral